RNAcentral lists this long non-coding RNA (2687 nucleotides) under Sus scrofa (pig). RNAcentral describes it as "lncRNA (ENSSSCG00015048519.1)". The record is from RNAcentral. Lineage: Eukaryota; Metazoa; Chordata; Mammalia; Artiodactyla; Suidae.
UUUCCUAGUGGGAUUUUCCCUUACAUAUAUUCUUACUUCUUUUCAUUUAGAGAUGACCCUUCAUCAUGUAGAUUUAGUGUUUAUGAAUUCUUUUAGUCUGUGCUUAUUUGGCAAGUUCUUUAUCUCUCCUUAUAUUCUAAAUGAUAAUCUUCCUGGGUAGAGUAUCCUAGGUAGCAGGUUUUUCCCUUUCAGCCCUUUGAAUAUAUAAUGCCACUCCCUUCUGGCCUGCAAAGUUUCUACAGAAAAAUCAGCUGAUAGCUUUUUGGGGUUCCCUUGUAACUUCUUAUUUGUUUUUCUCUUGCUGCAUUUAGAAUUCUCUUUUUAUCUUUUGCCACUCUAAUUUGCCUUAGCUCAGGACUCUUUGGCUUCAUCUUGUUUGGGACCUUCUGUACUUCCUAUACCUGGGAUCUGUUUCCUUCUUCAGAUUUGGGAAGUUUUCAGCAAUAAUUUCUUCAAAUAGUUUUUUUUUUAAUAUAUUUCUCUCUCUUCAGCUUCUGGAACCCCUAUACUGUGAAUGAUGGAGUCCCUAAUGUUAUCUCAGAGAUCUCUUGAUUGCUUUUAAUUUUUAAAAUUCAUUUUCCUUUCUGCUACUCUGAUUUGGUGAUUUCCAUCAUUCUAUCUUCCAGAUCACUUUUGCCUUCUUCUAUUAUUCUGUUAUUAUUGCCUUCUUACUGUUAUAAUAGUCUGUUAUUCAUUCCUUCUAGUUUGUUUAUUAUUUCAGCUAUUGAAUUAUUUAUUUUUGAUGCAGACUUUUUAUAUUUUCUAGUUCCUUUAAAUUGUUAGUGUUUAGAGCAAUUCUUUUCUUUUUUUAAUUUAAUGAUUUUUAUUCUUUAAUAAUAGUUGGCUUACAGUGUUCUAUCAAUUUCCUACCAUACAGCAAAGUGACCCAGUCAUUAUACACACACACACACACACACACACACAUAUAUAUAUAUAUAUACUUUUUCUCACAUUAUCCUCCAUCACAUUCCAUCACAAGUGACUAGAUCUAGUUCCAUGCUAAAUACAGCAUGCUCUCAUUGCUUAUCCAUUCCAGAUGCCAUAGUUUACAACUAUUAACCCCAUACUCCCACAUCCCACUCCUUCCCACUCCCCCUUGACAACCACAAGUCCAUUCUCCAAGUCCAUGAAUUUCUUUUCUGUGGAAAGGUUCAUUUGUGACAUACAUUAGAUCCCAGAUAUCUGAUAUUGUAUGGCAUUUGUCUUUCUCUUUCUGACUUAUUUCACUUAGUAUGAGAGUCUCUAGUUCCAUCCAUGUGGCAUUAUUUUGUUCUUUUUAUGGCUGAGUAGUAUUCCAUUUGUAUAUAUGCCAUGUCUUCUUGAUCCAUUCAUAUGUCAAUGUACAUUUAGGUUGUUGUUUCUAUGUCUUGGCUGUUGUGAAUAGUGCUGCAAUGAACAUGUGGGUGCAUGUGUCUUUUUCAAGGAUAGUUUUGUCUGGAUAUAUUCCCAAGAGUGGGAUUGCUAGGUCAUAAGGUAGUUCUAUAUUUAGUUUUCUGAAAUACCUUCAUACUGUUCUCCAUAGUGGUUGUACCAAUUUACAUUCCCACCAACAGUGUAGGAGGAUACCCUUUUCUCCACACUCUCUCCAGCAUUUGUUUUUUGUUGAUUUGUUAAUGAUGGCCAUUCUGACAGGUGAGAGGUGGUAUCUGAAUUCUCUCUGUUAAAUUGUCUCCAUUUCAUUGUUUUUAAGGAGUUUUCUCUUCUUUUCAAUUGAGAGUAGUUAUUUUGCCUUUUCAUUUUACUUAACUUCUCUUCUUCUAUUAAUUUAGGUGAAACAGUUACAUAUUGUAUCCUUGAAGGGGUUUUCUUAUGUGGGAGCAUCCCUAUGUAGAUUGCUUAUGUCCAGCACCUUUGGUGGGAGGGCUGGAUUUGAUGUGGAUGCCAAUCAAGUCUUUUCUCAGAGUAUGCUGGCAGCUUUCACCUUGGUGUUUGAUGGGCUGUAGAUGGAGUUUCUAGAACCAGCACUAAGUGUGAGGUGGAACUUUCUGCUCAGCAUCCAUCACAGCCCUGUCAGGUACAAGGUCUGAUCCCAAGUUGCUGGAGCAGAAACCCUGAAGGUUGGACUUGGGCUGACUCUUUUCCCUUUAAGUGUGUGUUUUUCCUUCUCCCUUCCAUGGAAAGUUCACCCCAGAGGAAGGGAGUGCUGAAACAAGUGGAGCCUGUGCACAUACAGAGAUCUGAUUUUCUCCCUGUGUAGGUGUCUGUGGCUCUACUCAGAUGCAAACAUAGUCAUGACUUUUCCUCAGUCAUAAUAAUCCCAGAUCUAAUGAUUGUAUUGUGGUCUGAGCAGAGCUGGAGUGUUUCUCAGCUUGGACCGAGACUCACUGGGCUGGGGCACAUGCUGAUGUGGUCACUGGAAACCCAGAAGCCACUAGAGCAAAUGUCUCUCUGCCCGCCUUGGGGGCAGGACCUCUUUGUAUCUUAUAGCUGAUCACUGUUCCCAACCUCCACUACUCUCCAUAUGUUGUGGCACUGUUCCACAGGGGAGUCAUGUGGUUUAUUUUCAUGCUUGAAUUGGGAUGUGAGCUGUGGUCAAAUGGUUGCUAUAAAAAAUUUGGGCUGCUUCUGGGUACUUGAGUAAAUACCAAUAAUGGCCACCAUAGGCCUACCUGGUCUCUGCCCUGGGACUGGAUCACCUCUGAGUCCCAAGGUUGAGUCCUUUCCCUGGACCUGGACACCCUAGAUAU